UUUUUUUUUGUGCUAGCACGCAUAGCAUUCAGCAGCUUCCAGUCGGUGUACAGCAACAACAAUUGAUUAAAAAAGCAAUAGCAAGCAACAAAUCCCCACUGAGCGCCCAGUGACUGCCCCUCCUACACUUCGCCAUUCAUCUCGUCCUCACCACCCAGCGCCGAUCUUCCCCCUCCUCUACCUCACCAUCAAGCGCUCCUCCUCCUUCUCUUCUCCAUCCACCUCACCACCCAGCCACUUCCCGGCUGCCAAAGGUGGCGCGGGAAAUUCUGGCAGCGCCGGUGUGUGUGUUUGCUGCUGCGGCUGGGGUGGCGGCGGCCUGAUCGUCGGCUCACGGGGGCCGGAGCGGAGUACCGCUGCCGUGGUGGUGGAGCCCCUCCCGGUGGGUGGCUGGGAGCGACGGCGGGCUGCAGGGCUGGCGUGCAGUGGCGGCUCGGUUGCUCGCCAGAUCUGGCAGCCGGCCAGCACGCUCGGGGGCUGGUUGGACCUAUGGCGGAGGCGAGGGAGGAGGUCUGGUGGUGCUGCUCGUCUGCCGGUGGCGGAAGGAUUCUGGGGCGGCUUGGGUGAAAUCACCAAGUUUUCUCUUCCGUGAGCUCUUCUCUGUACCAUCGUUGGCCAUCUCUGUAUGAAUCAAUAUGGCAAAAUUAGCUCGACCUAUCUAUUAGGCUGGGCACACCAUGGCUGCACCAAUUUUUUCUGUAUCCCCAGAUCAGCCCUCUCUCCUUCUUUAGGAUUAUUAGGACUUGGGGUAGGCGUAGGCGCUGGGACCGGCGGCGAGCGGCGGCAUGGUAAGGGUGCGGCGCGCUAGAGGUGGAAGAUGGGAUUGGAUCGUGGGUCGUGCGGCUAGAGAGCCGCCAUCCUCCCAGCAAGGCUAGGACCGGCGGAGGCCGAGCGGCGGACUGGUUUGGUUUGUGGUGGUCGUCGACUUGCCGGAGAGGGGCGAGGUGGUGGUCCUCGACUCGCCGAAGAGGGAGGGGGGAGGAGGAGCUGCGGCACGGUCGUCGGGUGAUGGGGUGCGAUGGUGGCGGUUGAGAGGACAGGAUAAGGAAGGGACGUGCGGCUGGUGUUUUCGCUAGCGAAUCAUUAUUUUACAGUAGGUGUGGAUUGCGGGUUGAUUUUAUGUAAACCGAGGGGCUUUCUUGAAAAACUGCCAUGAUGACGGACGACCAGGAAUUAAACCCUAUUUUCUUUAUUAUUAGGUAAAGAUUUGGUAGUUCAAGUUGUGAUCUAUCUCUACUAUUCUUGACCUCCAAGAUUUGUAUCUUAUAUAAACAGCCCUUCGAGACCCU
RNAcentral lists this ribosomal RNA (1289 nucleotides) under Triticum aestivum (bread wheat). RNAcentral describes it as "partial small subunit ribosomal RNA". Lineage: Eukaryota; Viridiplantae; Streptophyta; Magnoliopsida; Poales; Poaceae. The record is from RNAcentral.